CUGCUUACACAUGCAAGUCGUACGGGCAGGGCAACCUGUCAGUGGCGGACGGGUGAGUAACGCGUAGGAAUCUAUCCUUGGGUGGGGGACAACCGUGGGAAACUACGGCUAAUACCGCAUGAUCCCUGAGGGGCAAAGGCGAAAGUCGCCUAAGGAGGAGCCUGCGUCUGAUUAGGUAGUCGGUGGGGUAAAGGCCUACCAAGCCUGCGAUCAGUAGCUGGUCUGAGAGGAUGAUCAGCCACACUGGGACUGAGACACGGGCCAGACUCCUACGGGAGGCAGCAGUGAGGAAUAUUGCGCAAUGGGGGCAACCCUGACGCAGCAACGCCGCGUGUGGGAAGAAGGCUUUCGGGUUGUAAACCACUUUUGCCCGGGACGAAAGGGGGGACCUGAAUAAGGUUGCCCGAUGACGGUACCGGGAGAAUAAGCCACGGCUAACUCUGUGCCAGCAGCCGCGGUAAGACAGAGGUGGCAAGCGUUGUUCGGAGUUACUGGGCGUAAAGAGUCUGUAGGUGGUCUGUCAAGUCUUUGGUGAAAGGCCGUGGCUUAACCAUGGGAAUGCCAAAGAGACUGGCAGACUGGGAGGCUGGGAGAGGGAAGCGGAAUUUCUGGUGUAGCGGUGAAAUGCGUAGAUAUCAGAAGGAAGGCCGGUGGCGAAGGCGGCUUCCUGGAACAGACCUGACACUGAGAGACGAAAGCGUGGGGAGCAAACAGGAUUAGAUACCCUGGUAGUCCACGCCCUAAACGAUGGGUACUAAGUGUGGGAGGGUUAAAC
RNAcentral lists this ribosomal RNA (775 nucleotides) under uncultured bacterium. Its description in RNAcentral is "bacterial SSU rRNA". It matches the Rfam family "Bacterial small subunit ribosomal RNA", at positions 44 to 836 of the family's 1533-position model. The record is from RNAcentral.